AACUUUUGUUUCGGUAAAGAAAUUUGAAUAAAACUUGGUAUGUAUGUAGCUUAUAUCAAGACAAAGGCUGGGAUUGAUUUUGGGGUUUCUGGGGUCAAGGUCACUGUUACUUAAAAUAGAAAAAGGGUUUCCGGUCAAUAACUUAACUUAGGAAUGAGCUAUCAUGAUGAAACUUGGUAUAUAGAAAACUUAUAUAAAGUUGUAGCUUGGGAUUGAUUUUGGGGUUUCUGGGAUCAAGGUCAAGGUCAUUGUUACUAAAAAUAGGGUUAGCAUGGUUCGCACAGGUCCUUGAAAGUCCUUGAAUUUGAUCCUAAGUCCUUGAAAAGUCCUUGAUUUUUUUCUUCCAAAAAAUCCCCUGAAAAAGUACUUGAAUUUUGAAAAAAAAGGUAGAAAAGUCCUUAAAUUUUGCUAAAAACGGGGGUGCAAUCGUAUUGUAGGGGAAAAAUACAAAAAAUAAAUAAUAAAUAAGUCAAAACGAGCGAAAAAACGGUGUAAAAUAAAAAUA
Molecule: long non-coding RNA, 505 nt
Organism: Mercenaria mercenaria
Lineage: Eukaryota; Metazoa; Mollusca; Bivalvia; Venerida; Veneridae
Exons: 2
Source: RefSeq, a predicted model, not a curated record